GGCUUCGAUCAUUAGUUGGUCUGAGAGGAUGAUCAGCCACAAUGGAACUGAGACACGGUCCAUACUUCUACGGAAGGCAGCAGUAGGGAAUUUUGCGCAAUGGACGAAAGUCUGACGCAGCAAUGCCGCGUGUAGGAAGAAGCAUCUUGGUGUGUAAACUACUGUCGGCGGGGAAAAACAAAAUGAUUGUACCCGCAAAGGAAGCAUCGGCUAACUACGUGCCAGCAGCCGCGGUAAGACGUAGGAUGCAAGCGUUGUCCGGAUUUAUUGGGCGUAAAGAGUUCGUAGGCGGUAAUUCAAGUCUAAUGUGAGAUAAUAGGGCUCAACUCUAUUCCCGCAUUGGAUACUGUUUUACUUGAGUAGGGUAGGGGUCAGAAGAAUUCCUGGUGUAGCGGUGAAAUGCGUAGAUAUCAGGAGGAACACCGGUGGCGAAAGCGUCUGACUGGGCCUUUACUGACGCUGAGGAACGAAAGCUAGGGGAGCGAAAGGGAUUAGAUACCCC
RNAcentral lists this ribosomal RNA (502 nucleotides) under uncultured bacterium. RNAcentral's name for it is "bacterial SSU rRNA". It matches the Rfam family "Bacterial small subunit ribosomal RNA", at positions 272 to 788 of the family's 1533-position model. The record is from RNAcentral.